AGUCGAAGAAAAACAUACAAAAUACGAACGUCCCUGUAUCUUACCCCGCUCCCUUCCCCGGAAAAUAAUAGAAAAAAAAACAAUGAUGAAAACCGUACUAAUUUAAGGCUCUGCAGUUGGAACACAAAAUAGUAUAUCUGCAAUUGAUUGAUUGGUACUUAUCGCCACUUCCAGCCCUAUUGUGCUAUCGUGGCAUUCUGUUUGUAUUGGUGGAGGAAGCCAAAAUGCCUGGAGAGAACAACCGACUUUCUGUAGGAAAACUUUCAAUCCUAUUCAAUCAAUAUUGGAAUCGAUCGCACCAGUCACGUGCGGAAUUCGAACUCACAAUCUCAGUGUCGACAGGCUAGUGAUACUGUACAGUAGUUCGACUACUCAGACAACUCGACCACCGAGGGCCCGUAUAUCUACGACAUAUGAGAUAUAUCCGUUGUCAUCAGGGACAUAGCGGUCAUCCAAGUCAUAAUUGAGUUCGUGAAAUUUCGGAAAGAAGAUUUCAAUUUUACCAUUCAAAAUCUAUUUGACAAGAAACACAAGCUAUGGCAUAUCGUAUCAACUAGGAGAUAUAUAUCUUUAAAAUUAUACUAUAGCUUUAUAAAAAAAAAAUUUAAAUUUCGAAUCCAAGAGGAAAACAAAAGACUUGAUCGUACCUUCUCCUUUACUGGAAAAGAAUAUUUAUAUCAUUUUUUUUUAAACUUCAUGAUAAAACCUUUACGAAUUUUGAAUAUCCCCUGAGCCUUGGUGUAGGUAUCAAACUAUGAUGCCAUAAUUAAUUUAAUGUGACAAAUGAUAUUAAUUAUUGCAUAUAUUUCUUUAUCUAUCAAUUGUAUUUAGAUGUACUGUUGUCAUUGAAAUUGAAUCAAUUUAUAACCCAUACUUUAGAGCCUCUAUCGCUCACCUAGGUAUACGUGCAUAUUCAACAAAGGAUACUCUCCAACAUUGUAGACAUGAAUAGAACUCAUGACAAAAAUCUUUUUCUUUUUUUGUU
This is a long non-coding RNA of Mytilus californianus (California mussel), 985 nucleotides long. RefSeq lists it as uncharacterized. The transcript is spliced from 2 exons. The record is from RefSeq and is a predicted model, not a curated record. NCBI's taxonomy places the organism in Eukaryota, Metazoa, Mollusca, Bivalvia, Mytilida, Mytilidae.